This is a long non-coding RNA of Carassius auratus (goldfish), 399 nucleotides long. RefSeq lists it as uncharacterized. The record is from RefSeq and is a predicted model, not a curated record. Lineage: Eukaryota; Metazoa; Chordata; Actinopteri; Cypriniformes; Cyprinidae. The transcript is spliced from 3 exons.
CACCGACUGAGAUGAGGUUCUUCAUUGGGGGAUCUGGACAGCGCUGUGCAACUGCACGUCUUACGAAACAUUAAACAAGACAGGAAGGAAUGAGAAGAAUGGAGGAUGUGGAGCUGCUUUACCUGUACGACAGUCUUGCCGAUCAUCAGGGAAAGCACAUAUAUUCCUGGGACUUCAGCUUCCAUCAUCUUCUUUAUUGCACCCAUGCUCAGUGGAUUGCAACAACUGUCUCCUGCAAAAACAAAUGAACAAAUAACAGUGAUAAUUAGCAUUGAUCUCAGUAGCUCAAGAGCGGAUGUGUGUCUCACUCACCCAUGCCGUGCCAUAUCACCAGAGGGACUGUGGCAUUAUCUCCCCACGAGGAGCCACACAGCAGCAGCAGACACCCAGACACAGAGA